Rattus rattus (black rat) is the source of this 783-nucleotide long non-coding RNA. RefSeq lists it as uncharacterized. NCBI's taxonomy places the organism in Eukaryota, Metazoa, Chordata, Mammalia, Rodentia, Muridae. The transcript has 4 exons. The record is from RefSeq and is a predicted model, not a curated record.
UGAAUAGCAAGUACUAAAUGAGGCUGGCAACCAUAAGGGCAGAACAAACAGGCCAUUCAUAGACAAGAACCUGGAAGGAGGCAGGGCUGGUGGCUGGGACCUAGCAAAGGAGAUGUUUCUCCUGCCUUUAUUAAGGAAUAACCUAUCACCUCAUUUGGUUCCUCCUAUCAUCUUGUGAUUGUGAAAAUAAUCUUGCUUUGUGCUUUUCUUCUCUGGAAAAGAAGAGGGAGUCUAGGAUCAAUGGUGGUGUUUCUGGACUGUGAGCGAAUGAGCACAUGAAAAUAUGGAAUCUUAUAAGGUUGGAUGAAACUGCCAAGACAGAAGACAUUGAAGAGCAUUCUGGCUACAGAGACAGGAUAUCUUGUGUGAUAAAAGAAGACACUGCAAGAAGAAAGUAACUGAAUGAGGUGUCAAAUAAUUGAAAUGCUUCAAGCCUGUCAACUGCUUUUCCUUGGGACAGCAGAUGAGGGUGGUGAAGUUACUGGAAUAAGGAAAAGACUGUGAGAAACAAGGUGAAGAAGUAAGAAAGGCAGUAGUGGAAGAUUUCUGUAGACUAAGAAGAACUGAAUUAUUCCCCCUUUACAAAUACUUUAUUGACCAAUCAUUAUGCAUAUCUGUAGAGAAAGAACUGAAUUUUAUCUUUCAUUAAAGAAACAGGGAUGUUUAGAAAUAUAAACUUUUGAUCUCAACCAACUGGAAGAGACUUUGGCCAUUUCUAUGAACACUAAAGAUACUCUGAUUAUGGGCUUGGGGAGUUAGCUCAGUGGUUGAGCGGUUGCCUAG